CCUACGGGUGGCAGCAGUGAGGAAUAUUGGUCAAUGGACGAGAGUCUGAACCAGCCAAGUAGCGUGAAGGAUGACUGCCCUAUGGGUUGUAAACUUCUUUUAUAUGGGAAUAAAAUGUUCCACGUGUGGGAUUUUGUAUGUACCAUAUGAAUAAGGAUCGGCUAACUCCGUGCCAGCAGCCGCGGUAAUACGGAGGAUCCGAGCGUUAUCCGGAUUUAUUGGGUUUAAAGGGAGCGUAGGUGGAUUGUUAAAUCAGUUGUGAAAGUUUGCGGCUCAACCGUAAAAUUGCAGUUGAAACUGGCAGUCUUGAGUACAGUAGAGGUGGGCGGAAUUCGUGGUGUAGCGGUGAAAUGCUUAGAUAGCACGAAGAACUCCGAUUGCGAAGGCAGUUCACUGGACUGCAACUGACACUGAGGCUCGAAAGUGUGGGUAUCAAACAGGAUUAGAUACCCCUGUAGUC
Molecule: ribosomal RNA, 460 nt
Filed under: uncultured bacterium
Lineage: Bacteria
Description: partial 16S ribosomal RNA
Rfam family: Bacterial small subunit ribosomal RNA
Source: RNAcentral